AUCUGCUGUUGGCGUAGAAGUCCUGCCACGCCACUUCCGCGGGGUGACCCCUCAGCCAUGGAGCGUCACACUCAUCGCUGCCAGUGUCUCCAGGGUUCCAGAAGUACACUUCACAUACUGGGAGAGUUUCUCCUCCUCCAUAAGCGGUGACUUGGGCGGGAUAGUGACAUCCUCGGUCAUAAUUUGGGAUUAAUACCUGCUGGGAGGGACGAAGAGGAUUCACAGAACCCGAGAAGGUUUAUGGAACAACCUCUGGGAGAAGCAAAGUCAAGGGUGGAGCCCAAGCUGGGACAUGGUGAGAAGCUGGGUGACACGGUGACGAGUGAGUGGUCCACCUCCCACCCCUGCCCUAAAGCUGAGGGGGAAUUGACGAGACCAAGCGACUUCCUGCCCCAAGUGACAGCCGCAGAGCUGGGCCCACAGUGCUGGCCUCCUGCCGCCUGGCCCUCUGCUUUCUCCUGGACCACAGGUCUGUGUCCCUCUUCCGGGGGUAAACACUGUCUAGAAGAACGUGCUGGCCUGGCGGAUGAACCAGUCACUCGGCCACCUGGCUGGCAUCCGUCCCUUGAGCAGAUUUCGUGAGCGCCAUCAGGAAGCCGGGGAAUCUGGGCCGGGUCGGGAGGCUCAGUGUCACGCCUGGAACCCUCGCAUCGGCGCGUGCAAACCGGAGGCACAGAAGGCCUGGCGGCGACAGGGAGGUGCCUCCCGCCCUCUGGCUCCUCGGCCACCCCCUGCUGUUUCAGGAUCCCGUGCAGAACGUCCCUCCCUCCGUGCUUCUCCCCUUCUCUUAGGUCGACUCCAGGUACCUGAUUGUCCUCGUGCCUUCCGUCCCCUCCCCCGUGUAGGGAUCGGUUUCCUUGCCCUUCACGUGAUCAGCACGGGAUGAGAGAGGAGCCUUUCUCUCGGCAGAGGCCGCUUUCCAGCGGCUUUAUUUUCCAUUCGACCUUAGACGCUACUGAAAACGGUUCUUUGCCUUUUUAAUUUUGGCUGCUGCUGAGUCGGGCGCAGCCCCUGGUUCAGGAAAUGUCAAUCCAGAGGCUCGAUGCCACCGUCCUCGGCUCCGAGGCUCUGUGGGCCAUGCUCCCGGCCUCUCACCUGAGGGCCAGUUUUGUACCCAGCGGGGGAUCAGUGGACACGAGGGCUCAGAGAGGCAGAGAGCCUGAGACGGUGAGGAGGGCGGGAGGUUUGGGGCCAGAGUUCCUGACGCAGCGGGCCCCCACCCCCCUCACCCUUGUGUGCGCCUCGCCCUGCCCUCCUCAUCGACUUUGGGUUGCGGACAAUUCAGGAAGCAAGGCAUUUGCUAUGAAGCCGCAGGCCCAGUACCAGGAGCUCCUAGGUGUUAUCUGCUCCUUGGAAUCCUCUGCCCUCCAGAUCGGCUCGGGUUGCUAAGAGAAACUAAGUGGCAUCGAAAGCAUCAGCAUUUGUGUGCCACAGAGUCUUUGGCUCUGCUGGACCUCGGGAGACAAGCAGCAAUACUCGCUACAACUUAUCGAAAUCCACGAGGCUGGUUAAGGGUGUCACCUACACUAUCGCUAAUACUCGUGACAGGUGAACAGGCACCGGACAAAUUUGGCCCCUGCCGAACUUUGCCAGGUCCUGCUCUAGAUGAUUGGCCACUUCACUCACAGUCAAACGUUCUUCCUUUUCUUUGACCGCCCCUACCACCAAGUGGAACGAAGUGCCCGUCACUGCGUGCUACCCGUGUCUGCUGCCCCCGCCCCGCCUCACAGGGUCGUGGCAUGCUUCCUGUUGCACCUGCUGGCACCGGGACUCCGAACCCGGGCCUGGAGGUGCUAACCACACGGACAGCACUGCCCUCUGGCCCCAGACUGUGCUCUUGGCUCGCCUUCCACCAUCCCCUUCGCCCAGCUGGAGAAGCCCCUCUCCCUGUCAGUCACAAUUCUAUGUGCCCGGAAAGGGCGGCCCCCUGCCUCAGGUCUUCAUAGAGUCCCCAAAUACUACACCUCACACGAGGGAGGCUGGUUUGCUCCUUACAAAGCCUCCCAAAGACCUUGGGACACUUUGCUCGGGACUUCCAAGGCACACCCUUCAGCGUUGAGUCAAGUGUGUCCUGCCUUGGGACAGCUGCCGGGUCCCAAGGCACACCUCCAAGGCUCAACGCAGAGUGUGGUUUGGGGGCGCCGGGGGCUGACUCCCAGACCCCAGAGCCCUUUACCACUUCUCUCGGGCGCCUGGGCUGCCUGACGCGUAGUUGCCGGCUGUAGCCCCUGGUCAGGCAUGGCUGGCCGGGCCUGUUCCACAAAUGCUGGAGCAGGAUGGAGGGUCCAAAUGUGGAAGCUAGGCGUCACUCCCAUAGGAAGGGGCCAGGGCGGGUGCUAACGAGAUCAGGCAUUCAAGGGACGAGGGGGUGGGGCUGUAAUGAGGGAGGCUCCACCCUGCCGAGAAGAAGCCGGGAAGGCUGGGAGAUGAGGAAAGUAUGGGAAAGAUGCUAAUCUCACUGAAAAGGACACGGACGCCUCUGGGCAUCUGUCUUUUCCAUUCCAGAGGGAUCGGGCAGUGAGAGUGAGCUGCAGGUGAGGGCGAGGACGGGGGUGGACUUUGCACGGCCAUUUCCCAACUCCGCGACCUUUGCUAAGUUAUUUAACCUCUCUGUGUCCUUGGCCUUAAAAAUGGGAAUGCUUGGCUGCUCUGGUUAGUAUAGGAUUAGAGGAAAUAAAGUUAGUAGAGAGCCUCUGCCUGA
Molecule: long non-coding RNA, 2701 nt
Organism: Pteropus alecto (black flying fox)
Lineage: Eukaryota; Metazoa; Chordata; Mammalia; Chiroptera; Pteropodidae
Exons: 3
Source: RefSeq, a predicted model, not a curated record